CUUGUGAAAGGGCUAUGUGGCAUGCCUUGAUUAAUAUGGGGAUGCUUCCUGAACAUUUAAUUAUAUAGCAUGUGGCAGCUUGGUACAGAGGGCACCUAAAGUGGUAUGGAGUAGCUCCCUGUAAUUUCAGGCUAUAUGGGAAGUGACAGCGUAGUGCAGGGGUAGAUGUGUUACCCCCCAUGACUAAUUUGAUGUUGUCCCUUUAGUGCCAUUUGAGAAUGGAAGUGACAGUUUAGCAAAGGUGACGUCUGUGGGGUUUCUGGAUUAGUAUGGUAAUGCUCCCUGAAGU
Non-coding RNA from Pelobates cultripes (western spadefoot toad), 289 nucleotides. The record is from the annotation of a GenBank genome assembly. NCBI's taxonomy places the organism in Eukaryota, Metazoa, Chordata, Amphibia, Anura, Pelobatidae.